AGAGUUUGAUCCUGGCUCAGGAUGAACGCUGGCGGCGUGUCUAAGGCAUGCGAGUCGAACGCCCUCUUUUAGAGGGAGUGGCAAACGGGUGAGUAACACAUUGGUAAUCUACCUCCAUCACGAGAAUAAUCUCGAGAAAUUGAGUUUAAUACUCGAUAUGUUCCAGAAAUUUAUGUUUUUGGAGUAAAGUUCAGGCGGUUGGAGAGGAGCCUAUGUCCUAUCAGCUUGUUGGUAAGGUAAAAGCUUACCAAGGCUACGACGGGUAGCGGGUGUGAGAGCAUGACCCGCCUCAAUGGGACUGAGACACUGCCCAUACUCCUACGGGAGGCUGCAGUCGAGAAUCUUCCCCAAUGGACGAAAGUCUGAGGGAGCGACGCCGCGUGAAGGAAGACGCCCUUUGGGGUGUAAACUUCUUUUCUUAGGGAAGAACAAAUGACGGUACCUAAGGAAUAAGGGACUGCCAACCUCGUGCCAGCAGCAGCGGUAAUACGAGGGUCCCAAGCGUUAUCCGGAAUCACUGGGCGUAAAGCGUCUGUAGGUGGUUUAUUAAGUCAGAUGUUAAAUAUUAGGGCUCAACUCUAAUGCUGCAUCUGAUACUGGUAAACUAGAGGAUGGGAGAGGUAUGUGGAAUUGCCGGUGUAGUAGUCAAAUGCGUUAAUAUCGGUAGGAACACCAAAUGCGAAGGCAUCAUACUGGAACACUCCUGACACUGAGAGACGAAAGCGUGGGUAGCGAAUGGGAUUAGAUACCCCAGUAGUCCACGCCGUAAACGAUGAGCACUAGGCAUUGGAAGUAUCGACCCUUCCAGUGUCGUUAUAUCUAGCUAACGCGUUAAGUGCUCCGCCUGGGGAGUACGACCGCAAGGUUAAAACUCAAAGGAAUUGACGGGAACCCGCACAAGCGGUGGAACACGUGGUUUAAUUCGAAGAUAAGCGAGGAACCUUACCAGGGUUUAAAGUCUAACUGCAAAUCCUAAGAAAUUAGGACUCCUUCGAGGGUGUUAGAAAUGGUGUUGCAUGGUCGUCGUCAGCUCGUGGCGUGAGCUGUACGGUUAAGUCCGGUAACGAGCGCAACCCAUGGCCUAUGUUAUAUUGUCAUAGGUGACUGCCCAGCAUAACUGGGAGGAAGGUGUGGAUGACGUCAGAUCAGCAUGAUCCUUACAUUCUGGGCUACACGCGUGUUACAGUGGCCAAUACAAUGGGUCGCCAAGUCGCGAGAUGGAGCUAAUCCCAUCAAAGUUGGUCUCAGUUCGGAUUGUAGGCUGCAAUUCGCCUACAUGAAGUUGGAAUCGCUAGUAAUCACAAAUCAGCAACGUUGUGGUGAAUACGUUCUCGGGCUUUGUACACACCGCCCGUCAUGCCAGGAGAGUUGGUAAUGCCCGAACUACGUUGAUAGAACGUAGGAAGGUAGGAUUGACGAUAAGGGUAAAGUCGUAACAAGGCA
Molecule: ribosomal RNA, 1443 nt
Filed under: metagenome
Description: bacterial SSU rRNA
Rfam family: Bacterial small subunit ribosomal RNA
Source: RNAcentral